UUGACCUCAAAUCAGGUAGGACUACCCGCUGAACUUAAGCAUAUCAAUAAGCGGAGGAAAAGAAACUAACAAGGAUUCCCUUAGUAACUGCGAGUGAAGUGGGAAAAGCUCAAAUUUAGAAUCUGGCGGUCGCUUGGCUGUCCGAGUUGUAAUCUAGAGAAGUGUUGCCCGUGCUGGACCAUGUACAAGUCUCCUGGAAUGGAGCAUCACAGAGGGUGAGAAUCCUGUCUUUGACAUGGACUGCCAGUGCUUUUGUGGUACGCUCUCAAAGAGUCGAGUUGUUUGGGAAUGCAGCUCAAAACGGGUGGUAAAUGCCAUCUAAAGCUAAAUAUUGGCGAGAGACCGAUAGCGAACAAGUACCGUGAGGGAAAGAUGAAAAGAACUUUGGAAAGAGAGUUAAACAGUACGUGAAAUUGCUGAAAGGGAAACGCUUGAAGUCAGUCACGUUGACUSGGAAUCAGCUCUGCUUUUGCUGGGUGUACUUUCUUGUCAA
Molecule: ribosomal RNA, 493 nt
Filed under: Pseudosperma sororium
Lineage: Eukaryota; Fungi; Basidiomycota; Agaricomycetes; Agaricales; Inocybaceae
Description: eukaryotic LSU rRNA
Rfam family: Eukaryotic large subunit ribosomal RNA
Source: RNAcentral